GAUGAACGCUGGCGUCGUUCCUAAUACAUGCAAGUCGAGCUAACAGAUCUGUAUCUUUCUCCUCUUACGUUAUCGGCUGACGGGUGAGUAACACGUUUAUAACCUACCUAUAAUACUGGGAUCACUUCGGGACACCUUAGCUAAUACCGGAUUAUAUAUUUAACCGCAUGGUUCAUUAGUUACAGACGUUUUUGCUGUCUCUUCUAGAUGGAUCCGCGCCUCAUUAGCUAGUUGGUCAGGUAACGGCUUACCAAGGCGACGAUGCGUAGCCGACCUGAGAGGGUGAUCGGCCACACUGGAACUGAGACACGGUACAGACUCCUACGGGAGGCAGCAGUAGGGAAUCUUCCGCAAUGGGCGAAAGCCUGACGGAGCAACGCCGCAUGAGUGAUGAAGGUAUUCGGAUCGUAAAACACUGUUAAUAGGGAAGAACAAAUGUGUAAGGACAUAUGCACGUCUUGAAGGUACCUAAUCAGAAAGCCACGGAUAACUACGUG
RNAcentral lists this ribosomal RNA (497 nucleotides) under uncultured bacterium. RNAcentral describes it as "partial 16S ribosomal RNA". It matches the Rfam family "Bacterial small subunit ribosomal RNA", at positions 28 to 507 of the family's 1533-position model. The record is from RNAcentral.